AUUGAACGCUGGCGGCUGGCCUAACACAUGCAAGUCGAACGGUAACAGGAAGAAGCUUGCUUCUUUGCUGACGAGUGGCGGACGGGUGAGUAAUGUCUGGGAAACUGCCUGAUGGAGGGGGAUAACUACUGGAAACGGUAGCUAAUACCGCAUAACGUCGCAAGACCAAAGAGGGGGACCUUCGUGCCUCUUGCCAUCGGAUGUGCCCAGAUGGGAUUAGCUAGUAGGUUGGGUAACGGCUCACCUAGGCGACGAGCCCUAGCUGGUCUGAGAGGAUGACCAGCCACACUGGAACGGAGACACGGUCCAGACUCCUACGGGAGGCAGCAGUGGGGAAUAUUGCACAAUGGGCGAAAGCCUGAUGCAGCCAUGCCGCGUGUAUGAAGAAGGCCUUCGGGUUGUAAAGUACUUUCAGCGGGGAGGAAGGGAGUAAAGUUAAUACCUUUGCUCAUUGACGUUACCCGCAGAAGAAGCACCGGCUAACUCCGUG
RNAcentral lists this ribosomal RNA (490 nucleotides) under uncultured bacterium. RNAcentral's name for it is "partial 16S ribosomal RNA". It matches the Rfam family "Bacterial small subunit ribosomal RNA", at positions 30 to 507 of the family's 1533-position model. The record is from RNAcentral.